This 633-nucleotide ribosomal RNA is filed under the name uncultured bacterium. RNAcentral's name for it is "bacterial SSU rRNA". It matches the Rfam family "Bacterial small subunit ribosomal RNA", at positions 139 to 750 of the family's 1533-position model. The record is from RNAcentral.
GGGGAUAGCCCGGAGAAAUCCGGAUUAACACCGCAUGAAGACACAGUCCCGCAUGGGGCAAUGUCCCAAACAUUUAUGGGACCAAGAUGGGCAUGCGUGCCAUUAGCUAGUUGGCGGGGUAACGGCCCCACCAAGGCGACGAUGGCUAGGGGGAUCUGAGAGGAUGGGCCCCCCACACUGGUACUGAGACACGGACCCAGACUCCUACGGGAGGCAGCAGUAAAGGAAUAUUGGUCAAAUGGGGCGCGAGCCUGAACCCAGCCAUGCCGCGUGCAGGAAAGACGGCCCUUCCGGGUUGUAAAACUGCUUUUAUACCGGAAAUAAACCCUCCCUACGUGUAGGGAAGCUGAAAUGUACGGUAGGAAAUAAGGAUUCGGCUAAACUCCGUGCCCAGCAGCCGCGGUAAUACGGAGGAUCCGAGCGUUAUCCGGAUUUAUUGGGUUUAAAGGGUGCGUAGGCGGCCUGUUAAGUCAGGGGUGAAAGACGGUGGCUCAACCAUCGCAGUGCCCUUGAUACUGACGGGCUUGAAUCAACUAGAGGCAGGCGGAAUGUGACAAGUAGCGGUGAAAUGCAUAGAUAUGUCACAGAACACCGAUUGCGAAGGCAGCUUGCUAUGGUUGUAUUGACGCUGAG